CUUUUCGUCAUCAUACAUUUUAGUUCUCAACUUUAAUUCACUAUAAUUUUUUUUAACCCAAAUUAUUGAUGAAUUACUAACAUAGAAGCACUAUAGCAAUAUCAUAAUUGAUGAUGCAACAAUUAUAUAAUUAAUAUCUUACAUCAUUUCUAUAUUAGUAAUUCAUCAAUAUUUAGUCAAAAAUUAAGUUGUGUGACCUAAUUAAUUAUAAUAAUUCAGAAAGUUCGUACGAGAAAUUACAAAAUAUUAAAAUUCGAGUACUAAAAUGUCACGUGUCCCAUGGUUUGAGGA
This 291-nucleotide long non-coding RNA is filed under the name Ananas comosus (pineapple). RNAcentral describes it as "long non-coding RNA (ACOM_LNC029897)". The record is from RNAcentral. Lineage: Eukaryota; Viridiplantae; Streptophyta; Magnoliopsida; Poales; Bromeliaceae.